GAGGAAUAUUGGUCAAUGGGCGGCAGCCUGAACCAGCCAAGUAGCGUGAGGGAUGACGGCCCUACGGGUUGUAAACCUCUUUUAUGCGGGGAUAAAGUGCGGGACGUGUCCCGCUUUGCAGGUACCGCAUGAAUAAGGACCGGCUAAUUCCGUGCCAGCAGCCGCGGUAAUACGGAAGGUCCGGGCGUUACCCGGAUUUAUUGGGUUUAAAGGGAGCGCAGGCCGCCUCUUAAGCGUGCUGUGAAAUCCCCCGGCUCAACCGGGGGUGUGCAGCGCGAACUGGGGGGCUUGAGUGCGCACAGGGCAGGCGGAAUUCGUGGUGUAGCGGUGAAAUGCUUAGAUAUCACGAGGAACUCCGAUCGCGAAGGCAGCCUGCCGGGGCGCUACUGACGCUGAGGCUCGAAGGUGCGGGUAUCGAAC
RNAcentral lists this ribosomal RNA (420 nucleotides) under uncultured bacterium. RNAcentral's name for it is "bacterial SSU rRNA". It matches the Rfam family "Bacterial small subunit ribosomal RNA", at positions 356 to 773 of the family's 1533-position model. The record is from RNAcentral.